GACGAACGCUGGCGGCGUGCUUAACACAUGCAAGUCGAACGGAAAGGCCCUGCUUUUGUGGGGUGCUCGAGUGGCGAACGGGUGAGUAACACGUGAGUAACCUGCCCUUGACUUUGGGAUAACUUCAGGAAACUGGGGCUAAUACCGGAUAGGAGCUCCUGCUGCAUGGUGGGGGUUGGAAAGCUUCGGCGGUUGGGGAUGGACUCGCGGCUUAUCAGCUUGUUGGUGGGGUAGUGGCUUACCAAGGCUUUGACGGGUAGCCGGCCUGAGAGGGUGACCGGCCACAUUGGGACUGAGAUACGGCCCAGACUCCUACGGGAGGCAGCAGUGGGGAAUAUUGCACAAUGGGCGGAAGCCUGAUGCAGCAACGCCGCGUGCGGGAUGACGGCCUCCGGGUUGUAAACCGCUUUCGCCUGUGACGAAGCGUGAGUGACGGUAAUGGGUAAAGAAGCACCGGCUAACUACGUG
Molecule: ribosomal RNA, 468 nt
Filed under: uncultured bacterium
Lineage: Bacteria
Description: partial 16S ribosomal RNA
Rfam family: Bacterial small subunit ribosomal RNA
Source: RNAcentral